This 1167-nucleotide ribosomal RNA is filed under the name Triticum aestivum (bread wheat). RNAcentral's name for it is "partial small subunit ribosomal RNA". Lineage: Eukaryota; Viridiplantae; Streptophyta; Magnoliopsida; Poales; Poaceae. The record is from RNAcentral.
AUGUUACCCCUGGCAGUGUGGGGGGGGGGGAGUCGGAAGAGGUCAAAGGCAUGGAUGCACUUCACAGUUCAGAAAGAUGAUCCUGAUCAUGCUAAUUGCAACUACUGUGAUGCUGUACUGGGUUGCAAAUCCGCAUCGGCAGGUACUGCUUCUUUAGUCAACCAUUUGAAGAUUUGCAAAAAGAAUCUUGCCCACAUAUGUAGCACUCAGUCCGAGCUUACCUACCAAGUUAGCGAAGAUGGUAAUUCGGUGGUUCCUUGGCAAUACAUUGAGAAAGAAGUUAGAGAAGCAUUUGCUCGCAUGAUAGUGAUAGAUGAGCUUCCACUCAUAUUUGCAGAGAAAGAAGGUUUUAGGUUGUUUGUGGCUAAAGCUUGCCCAAGGUUCACUAUACCAUCUAGGACAACUAUGUAUAGAGAUAUCAUUGCUCUUUAUGAAGCUGAGAAAGCUAUGCUUAGAAAAUAUUUCAUUGGAUCACGUCAAGCUGUUUGCCUCACCACUGAUACAUGGACAUCAAAAAGACAGCAAAGCUACAUGGUCCUUACUGCACAUUUCAUUGAUUCUGGGUGGAAUCUUAGAAAAAAAUUUAUUAACUUUGUCUUGGUAGAUGGACACAAAGGGGAUGGCAUUGGGAAAUCAUUAGAAAAAUUACUUAUUGAGUGGGGCAUUGAGCGAGUGUGCACUAUUACUGUUGAUAAUGCAAGUUCUAAUGACACUUGCUUAGCCUACAUGAAGAGGUCUUUGACUAAUAGGGGCUGUACACAUGCAAAAAAUCAGUAUCUUCACAUGAGGUGUGUGGCACAUAUUGUUAAUCUAGUGGUUCAAGAUGGGCUAAAGAUAAUGUGCCAUCCAAUAAACAGAAUUCGAAGUGCUAUCAAGUUUGUGAGAGCCUCCCCAACUAGAUUGGAUUUAUUUAAAAAGUGUGUGCAGCUUAGCAAGGUAGCGAGUAAAUGUUUGAUUAAUAUUGAUGUGGCUACUAGAUGGAACUCCACAUUUAUAAUGCUAGAGACUGCUGAGAAAUUUGAGAGGGCAUUUAAGCAAUAUGCACUUCAGGAUCCCAACUACAAGACUGAGUUAGAAAAAACUGGUCCAGAACCUAAGCCUGAUACUCCUGAUCAGCGGGGUCCUCCAACUCAAAGUGAUUGGGUGUAUGUUUGUGAGUUCAAAUAA